This 735-nucleotide ribosomal RNA is filed under the name uncultured Providencia sp. Its description in RNAcentral is "bacterial SSU rRNA". It matches the Rfam family "Bacterial small subunit ribosomal RNA", at positions 767 to 1502 of the family's 1533-position model. Lineage: Bacteria; Pseudomonadati; Pseudomonadota; Gammaproteobacteria; Enterobacterales; Morganellaceae. The record is from RNAcentral.
AGCAAACAGGAUUAGAUACCCUGGUAGUCCACGCUGUAAACGAUGUCGAUUUGGAGGUUGUUCCCCUGAGGAGUGGCUUCCGGAGCUAACGCGUUAAAUCGACCGCUGGGGAGUACGGCCGCAAGGUUAAAACUCAAAUGAAUUGACGGGGGCCCGCACAAGCGGUGGAGCAUGUGGUUUAAUUCGAUGCAACGCGAAGAACCUUACCUACUCUUGACAUCCAGAGAAUUUAGCAGAGAUGCUUUAGUGCCUUCGGGAACUCUGAGACAGGUGCUGCAUGGCUGUCGUCAGCUCGUGUUGUGAAAUGUUGGGUUAAGUCCCGCAACGAGCGCAACCCUUAUCCUUUGUUGCCAGCACGUUAUGGUGGGAACUCAAAGGAGACUGCCGGUGAUAAACCGGAGGAAGGUGGGGAUGACGUCAAGUCAUCAUGGCCCUUACGAGUAGGGCUACACACGUGCUACAAUGGCGUAUACAAAGAGAAGCGACCUCGCGAGAGCAAGCGGAACUCAUAAAGUACGUCGUAGUCCGGAUUGGAGUCUGCAACUCGACUCCAUGAAGUCGGAAUCGCUAGUAAUCGUAGAUCAGAAUGCUACGGUGAAUACGUUCCCGGGCCUUGUACACACCGCCCGUCACACCAUGGGAGUGGGUUGCAAAAGAAGUAGGUAGCUUAACCUUCGGGAGGGCGCUUACCACUUUGUGAUUCAUGACUGGGGUGAAGUCGUAACAAGGUAACCA